This 318-nucleotide long non-coding RNA is filed under the name Ananas comosus (pineapple). RNAcentral describes it as "long non-coding RNA (ACOM_LNC019085)". The record is from RNAcentral. Lineage: Eukaryota; Viridiplantae; Streptophyta; Magnoliopsida; Poales; Bromeliaceae.
AAGUUUCUAGCUUUUGUAGAUAUCACUUCUGUGAUUAGGACGGUCAACAAGCCGAACAUGAGCUAAGUCACGAACAACAAGUUAAAUUAUUAGUCCUAAUAUUAGAUAAAAAGUUUAAGUGUAUAUCUGUAUAGCUAUAUCGCUCGGUAAGGUUUCGAGCUGAAAGAUUUAGCUGGUGUUUGGCUUAUUUUUUUUAUUUAAACGAGUGAUGAAUUCGACCUAAUUUUGAGCCGAUAUUCUGAUGUUGAGGGUAUAUUAAUCUUAUAGAAUUCAAAAAUUUGAGAUUAAAUUGGAUUAAAAUUUUAAGUUUUAUAGCAU